Long non-coding RNA from Pan troglodytes (chimpanzee), 2387 nucleotides. RefSeq lists it as uncharacterized. The record is from RefSeq and is a predicted model, not a curated record. Lineage: Eukaryota; Metazoa; Chordata; Mammalia; Primates; Hominidae. The transcript has 4 exons.
GUCCCGCUCCCUGCGCCGCGCACCUGAGGCAGUCGUUGUCUCUCACGACGCGCGCGCUCUCGGCGGGGGGCAAGAGCCCCCCCUCCAGGUAGAGGCCUAGGAAGGCCCCAGAACUGAAGCCGAAGCGCUGGCGGAUGAGACUAAUGAGAUCUGUGACGACUCGGCAUCUGUUCAAGUCGACCAGAAGCCAGAAGGCCGUACAGUGCGGGGUAGCUGGCGGCGGGUAAUCAAAUUGAAGCCGUAGCCUAACCGUCUCGGAAGCUGCCAUCUUGCUCGGUGCUCAACGGAAGCCGAGAGAUACCACGGGGCCACCGAGAGGCGUGCUCGGGCGGCUCGCCCCCGCCGGAGCCUUUGGCGUGUGCCACCUAGUGGUGAAACCUGGCUACUACAGGCUGCGUCUAGGCGAGAACUCGGAGCGUGGUUGAUUUCAUUCAAUUUUGUUCACGGCAGGGCUGAGGAAGGGAAUAAGUGAAAUGCCUUUAUUACAUUUCUACUGGGCGCUAUGUAGGGUCUCCUAAUUAAGGCAACUCUCUGGAUAAAUAACAUUUCUCCUCAGCAGUAGUCUUCUAAGAUAUUUGCUCAUCGACGUGAAAGAUUUUUAUAAAACAAUCCUAACACAUUUCGCUGACAAAAUUUUUCAUCAUGAUGAGUUGAAAAAGAUUUCACCUGGAUCUUGUUAUUGGGCCAUGAGAAAUAGCAGCCCGACCCUCACUCUGGUCUGGGAACAAAAUUUGGCCAGCCAGCCAGGAGAGACUGGGAUGGUGCUGUGUUCAGCGGCUAGCAGCUUGCAACGAGACAGUCUUCAGGAGGAUCCCAGCAGCUGCUGAUGAGAUUUCCCAAGGACCCUCUUGAAGGCUGUUUCAUGCACAAAAUUGCACAUCUCUUUCACUACUGGGGAAGAAUGGAGAUCAGGAGUGGAUGCACUCAAAGGGUCACAAUUGGAAAAACUGAUCAUUUUACCAAGGCUUUGACUGGAAUGGUGUGCUUUCCUUUAAGAAAUCAAACUUGACUUAUGGAGCCAACGGAACCCCAAGUUGUCUUGGAACCUCAAGAGGAGAGAAAUUCACCCAACACAUAGUUGGAAAUCACUGGAACUUAAGCUGUGCUUACUUAAAGCCCUGUGAACUAAACAACUUAAAUUUCAGAAGAAAACAGCAGCAACCUAUUUAUAUGUUGCUGUUGCAUACUAUUAUGCUGUUGCAAACUAUUUACAUGUGUUGCUGUUGCAUACUAGUAUGUUUCAACAGGUGCUGCCUCUAAGCCCCGAAGCAGAGAGUGCUACCAAGAACAAAUCGACCUCUUCCACUCCAGUGCUGUGUUCGGUGCCCCAUAACGACGACCCUCUCUCAGCAGGAAGUAGCCAGAAAGGUUAUGAUGUCCCAUCUCCCUACAAUCCUCGUGAUAAAUAAAUAUACAAGCAUGAUAGAUAUCAUGUGCAAAUUGACAGUGGAGAUUGUGGCAGGCGGAUCUCACUAAAGCAGGCUUCUGUAACAACUGUUUCAGUAUUGACUGAGUGGUUAAGUUAAAUAUUAAAAGGCAGUGGCCAUUAUACAAAGGCUGGGAUGGAACAAAAGCCCACCAAGAGUUUUGCGUAGGCCUUUCCUGGGCCUUAAAGCAUGACAGAAUAAUGAAGGAAUUCUUCACAGGACCCAUUUAGGAUUAAACAAGUUUUAUCAUGAGUCUGAAGAAGCUUUCCAGGCCUCCACAAACAAGUUUAUUGGAGGUCUGAAGGAACUCCCUAAACCUCCAUGAUUUAGCAGGAGACAAGAUAAGGGUAACCACCCCAGCACCUGGACCCAUUUAGAUUAAGUAAAUUUACUGAUGCUCCGGAGGAAGAUCUUCAGGACUCAGACCUUAAUUAUAGAUUAAAAGUAGUUAAUCACUUAUGUCUUUAGAUGAAUGCACACUUACACAUAGACAUAUAGCUUAAAAGGUAUAUAAGCUCUGGAAAAUGUUGUAAUUUGGAGUUGGUCUGGCAAUAACUUCCAGGCCUUCCCCCUGUAACUGGUUACAGAAAUAAAAACUCUCUCCCCAAUUCAUCUGCAUCUCAUUAUUGGGGCACAAGAAAUAGCAGCCCAACCCUCAGUUUUGUCCGGGAACACUAGAAUUACCAGCGUGAGCCACAGUAGCUUGCCUGUAAAUGCUGUUUAUCGAGUUGAGGAAGGUCCCCUCAAUUCCCAUUUUCUGAAUUUUUUAAAUAAUAAAUUUAAAAACUGUGUGUUAAACUUGUGAUGUUAAAUUUUGUCAAGUAUUUUUUCUGCAUUGAUUUAUAUGAUUAUAUGAUUUUUCUUCUUUUUCCUUUUAAUGUGGUUGAUUGUUUUGAUUGUUUUUCAAAUAAUGAACCAUCUAUGUUUCCUUACAAUAAAUUCUAUUUGGUUAUGGUGAAU